RNAcentral lists this ribosomal RNA (907 nucleotides) under uncultured Bacteroidota bacterium. RNAcentral's name for it is "bacterial SSU rRNA". It matches the Rfam family "Bacterial small subunit ribosomal RNA", at positions 1 to 899 of the family's 1533-position model. Lineage: Bacteria; Pseudomonadati; Bacteroidota. The record is from RNAcentral.
GGAUCCAGACUUUGAUUCUGGCUCACGAUGAACGCUAGCUACAGGCUUAACACAUGCAAGUCGAGGGGAAACGACAUCGAAAGCUUGCUUUUGAUGGGCGUCGACCGGCGCACGGGUGAGUAACGCGUAUCCAACCUGCCCACCACUUGGGGAUAACCUUGCGAAAGUAAGACUAAUACCCAAUGAUAUCUCUAGAAGACAUCUGAAAGAGAUUAAAGAUUUAUCGGUGAUGGAUGGGGAUGCGUCUGAUUAGCUUGUUGGCGGGGUAACGGCCCACCAAGGCGACGAUCAGUAGGGGUUCUGAGAGGAAGGUCCCCCACGUUGGAACUGAGACACGGUCCAAACUCCUACGGGAGGCAGCAGUGAGGAAUAUUGGUCAAUGGGCGAGAGCCUGAACCAGCCAAGUAGCGUGCAGGAUGACGGCCCUAUGGGUUGUAAACUGCUUUUAUAAGGGAAUAAAGUGAGUCUCGUGAGACUUUUUGCACGUACCUUAUGAAUAAGGACCGGCUAAUUCCGUGCCAGCAGCCGCGGUAAUACGGAAGGUCCGGGCGUUAUCCGGAUUUAUUGGGUUUAAAGGGAGCGUAGGCCGGAGAUUAAGCGUGUUGUGAAAUGUAGAUGCUCAACAUCUGAACUGCAGCGCGAACUGGUUUCCUUGAGUACGCACAAAGUGGGCGGAAUUCGUGGUGUAGCGGUGAAAUGCUUAGAUAUCACGAAGAACUCCGAUUGCGAAGGCAGCUCACUGGAGCGCAACUGACGCUGAAGCUCGAAAGUGCGGGUAUCGAACAGGAUUAGAUACCCUGGUAGUCCGCACGGUAAACGAUGGAUGCCCGCUGUUGGUCUGAACAGGUCAGCGGCCAAGCGAAAGCAUUAAGCAUCCCACCUGGGGAGUACGCCGGCAACGGUGCAA